GAUGAACGCUGGCGGCGUGCUUAAUACAUGUAAGUCGAACGAAGGAGUUAGCAAUAGCUCUUGAGUGGCGAACGGGUGCGUAACGCGUGGGUGACCUGCCCCGAAGAGUGGGAUACCAGUUCGAAAGGACUGCUAAUACCGCAUGAGCUCGUGCAGUUUAGAAGUGCACGAAGAAAGCCGAGAGGCGCUUUGGGAGGGACCUGCGUCCCAUCAGCUAGUUGGUAGGGUAACGGCCUACCAAGGCGGCGACGGGUAGGGGGCCUGAGAGGGUGGCCCCCCACACUGGCACUGAAACACGGGCCAGACACCUACGGGUGGCAGCAGUAGGGAAUAUUGCACAAUGGGCGCAAGCCUGAUGCAGCAACGCCGCGUGCGCGAUGAAGGCCUUCGGGUCGUAAAGCGCUUUUCGGGGAGAUGAGGAAGGACAGUAUCCCCGGAAUAAGUCUCGGCUAACUACGUGCCAGCAGCCGCGGUAAAACGUAGGAGGCAAGCGUUAUCCGAAUUUACUGGGCGUAAAGCGUGUGCAGGCGGUUCGGUAAGUUGGGUGUGAAAUCUCCCGGCUCAACUGGGAGAGGUCGCUCAAGACUGCCGGACUGGAGGGCGGUAGAGGGAGGUGGAAUUCCGGGUGUAGUGGUGAAAUGCGUAGAUAUCCGGAGGAACACCUGUGGCGAAAGCGGCCUCCUGGACCGUACCUGACGCUGAGACACGAAAGCUAGGGGAGCGAACGGGAUUAGAAACCCCGGUAGUCCUAGCCGUAAACGAUGUGGACUGGGUGUCGAUGGGGUAAAAGCCAGCGGUGCCGAAGCCAACGCGAUAAGUCCACCGCCUGGGGACUACGGCCGCAAGGUUAA
RNAcentral lists this ribosomal RNA (851 nucleotides) under uncultured Chloroflexota bacterium. Its description in RNAcentral is "bacterial SSU rRNA". It matches the Rfam family "Bacterial small subunit ribosomal RNA", at positions 28 to 897 of the family's 1533-position model. Lineage: Bacteria; Bacillati; Chloroflexota. The record is from RNAcentral.